CCUACGGGUGGCUGCAGUGGGGAAUAUUGCGCAAUGGGGGCGACCCUGACGCAGCAACGCCGCGUGAUUGAAGAAGGCCUUCGGGUUUUUAAGCUCUUUAAUCGGGGACGAAUUUUGACGGUACCCGAAGAAUAAGCUCCGACUAACUACGUGCCAGCAGCCGCGGUCAUACGUAGGGAGCACGCGUUAUCCGGAUUUACUGGGUGUAAAGGGCGUGUAGGCGGGCAUGCAAGCCAGAAGUGAAAUCUGGGGGCUUAACCCCCAAACUGCUUUUGGAACUGCGUGUCUUGAGUGAUGGAGAGGUAGGCGGAAUUCGCAGUGUAGCGGUGAAAUGCGUAGAUAUUGGGAGGAACUCCAGUGGCGAAGGCGGCCUGCUGGACAUUAACUGACGCUGAGGCGCGAAAGUGUGGGGAGCAAACAGGAUUAGAUACCCCUGUAGUC
Molecule: ribosomal RNA, 441 nt
Filed under: uncultured bacterium
Lineage: Bacteria
Description: partial 16S ribosomal RNA
Rfam family: Bacterial small subunit ribosomal RNA
Source: RNAcentral